ACAGAGGUGCCGAGCGUUAGGCGGAAUCACUGGGCUUAAAGCGUGUGUAGGCGGGUCGUUAAGUGUCUUGUGAAAUCCCACCGCUCAACGGUGGAACUGCUGGGCAUACUGGCGAUCUUGAGCCACCUAGGGGCAGACGGAACAAGCGGUGGAGCGGUGAAAUGCGUAGAUAUCGCUUGGAACGCCGACGGUGAAAACAGUCUGCUGGGGGUGUGCUGACGCUGAGACACGAAAGCCAGGGGAGCGAACGGGA
Molecule: ribosomal RNA, 253 nt
Filed under: uncultured prokaryote
Description: partial 16S ribosomal RNA
Rfam family: Bacterial small subunit ribosomal RNA
Source: RNAcentral